This is a long non-coding RNA of Brassica oleracea var. oleracea, 1732 nucleotides long. RefSeq lists it as uncharacterized. NCBI's taxonomy places the organism in Eukaryota, Viridiplantae, Streptophyta, Magnoliopsida, Brassicales, Brassicaceae. The record is from RefSeq and is a predicted model, not a curated record. The transcript is spliced from 5 exons.
UCUGUUUAUUAUCCCUUUCUUUAUUUAACUUUUAAUUUAAAGUUUGGUCCAGUCAGUCCAAAGCCAAACUUAGGGUUGUGUUGGAUGAGCUGUCCCGACUCAUUUAUGUCGGUUAACCCUGUUGUUCCGGUUCACCUCGCCUACAAAUCCGACUGAAAAACGUCUACAGUUACGUCUUUCAUUCUAUGAUCCCCACUACUUGAUCUUCAAAGCGUUUUAACUUCGUAGGCCGCACAAGGACUAUAUAUGGAGCCGGUGUGAGAGGCUUACGGAUAUUCUUCCUUUUCAUCAGAAAUCAGGGAACUCCUAAUCUUACAAAGAAGAAACACAAAGUCGACGUUAGUCCAACCAUCCAUCAAUGUUCACCGGCUUAACACCUUCAAAAACCUCGAUUCGAAAGCAAGCUGACAGCUUGACUAUUACAGUAUCAUCGAUUGUGAUUCACAAACAAUGAUUUCCCAGCCCUUUGUCUCACUUCACAGUAAUUUUGUUACUCUUUAAUCUGACACAACAUGCUUAUUCGAUGAUUAUUUGAACGCCGUGGUUGAAUGGAGAUCAAAGGUAUCCGCAAUGCACUUCUUGCAUCUAGGCACAACUGGACCAUAAACUCUGAACUUAAGUUGGACUGCAUGUGUUUCUUGAUCUAAGACUCGAACCAUGGGUCAGGAACUUCUAACACAACGCUUAGCUAUACUCAUGAUCCUAAGGUUGCUCUCAUUGGUGAUUGAACUGGAGCUGGAAAGUUAAUCAUCAAUUUCCUCGGUUAUACAGUCAUUCCCAUCUCUAAUGUCGCCACUUAAAAUUCUAAAAUUCUUUGAUUAACAGGUGUUGAAAACAAAAAAGAAACCACCACCCGAUUUCACAUACUCAGUGAUUAUUGGAAGACUUUGCAUUGCCCAGAAAAUCGAAGUGGGACAUGGCUUCUGAAGAUAAUCCUGACAGAUAUCUCUAUUUGCUUCAGGAGUGGGAUGUCAGUUUAUCAAAAUAUGCUUACACCACACUGAUCAAGGAACGUUGUGUCCUAUUUAAGUCAUCUUCCGCUCUUCGAACCAAGCUUGAAGCAGUGAAAGUGAGAUUAGUAUUUCUAUCAUGGGAUCAUGAGUCAUGUUAUGGCGACAAUGACUCUCAUGGGAUCAUGUUUGGGGAAAUUAGUGAUGCUCAAGGCGGUAUCUUUAGCUCUAACGUGGUUGGGAACUAUCAAUCUUAUGUCGAAGACCCAAUCAAGAAACCACACAGCCCAACAAUGGAGUUGUAAGUGAACAGCCAGUGGCUAAACGGAGCUUGGAAUCUAUUCCAGAGAACAAAGGUGAUGCCAAAACGUCAAAGAAGAAAGCUUCCUCCACAGGCUUCCCUUCAAACGUCAGAAGCUUAAUAUCAACUGGUCAUGUUCAAAUCGAUUCAAAAGUUUGAGGACUCUCGCUUCCUUGGAUGUAUUAGACUGAAAAUUUUACUUUCCAUAGCAGCUCGAGCAUGUCAGAGCAGGCUGAGAUAUUUCAAGCUCAAAGAUAGCUUAGUUCGUUUGGUUUCGGCAAGAGAGACCUCUAGCUCAGUAUAUUUGCUCCAAGCAUAUGAAUUCUCAUGAUACCGCUGAAGAUAUUGCUCUAACGCUUUCUACACCUAUAUACUGUAUAUACUUCCCAGCAGGGUGUGAUCUCAAUGUAUUUUUUGAAUAUUUGUUUUCAGAAGAAGAAAAAAAAAUCACUAACUUUAAGUAUAUCAUGUAUGUGUUUUA